AGCGAACGUUAGCGGCGGGCUUAACACAUGCAAGUCGAGCGAGAAAGUGGCUUCGGCCAUCAGUAAAGCGGCGGACGGGUGAGUAACACGUAGGUAAUCUUCCCUUGAGCGGGGGACAACGAGCCGAAAGGCUCGCUAAUACCGCAUAAGUUCCCAGGGUCCUCGGGCCUUGGGAGGAAAGCUAGGUAGCAAUAUCCGGCACUCGAGGAGGAGCCUGCGUCGCAUCAGCUAGUUGGUGGGGUAAUGGCCUACCAAGGCGAAGACGCGUAGCUGGUCUGAGAGGAUGAUCAGCCACACGGAAACUGAGACACGGUUCAGACUCCUACGGAGGCAGCAGUGGGGAAUAUUGGACAAUGGGCGCAAGCCUGAUCCAGCCACGCCGCGUGAGUGAUGAAGGCC
Molecule: ribosomal RNA, 399 nt
Filed under: uncultured bacterium
Lineage: Bacteria
Description: bacterial SSU rRNA
Rfam family: Bacterial small subunit ribosomal RNA
Source: RNAcentral